RNAcentral lists this small RNA (51 nucleotides) under Arabidopsis thaliana (thale cress). RNAcentral describes it as "ATSL301870". The record is from RNAcentral. Lineage: Eukaryota; Viridiplantae; Streptophyta; Magnoliopsida; Brassicales; Brassicaceae.
AAAAAAGUGUUUGUGAUUGUUCCAGAAGAAAUGAAACAAAAGAUACGGUAU